GACGAACGCUGGCGGCGUGCUUAACACAUGCAAGUCGAGCGGUAAGGCCCUUUCGGGGGUACACGAGCGGCGAACGGGUGAGUAACACGUGGGUGACCUGCCCUCAGCUCUGGGAUAAGCCUGGGAAACCGGGUCUAAUACUGGAUAUGACUCCAUGACGCAUGUUGUGGGGUGGAAAGCCUUGUGCGGCUGGAGGAGUCGGGCCCGCGGCCUAUCAGUCUUUGGUUGGGUGGGGUGA
RNAcentral lists this ribosomal RNA (238 nucleotides) under uncultured bacterium. RNAcentral describes it as "partial 16S ribosomal RNA". It matches the Rfam family "Bacterial small subunit ribosomal RNA", at positions 28 to 260 of the family's 1533-position model. The record is from RNAcentral.